This 253-nucleotide ribosomal RNA is filed under the name uncultured bacterium. Its description in RNAcentral is "partial 16S ribosomal RNA". It matches the Rfam family "Bacterial small subunit ribosomal RNA", at positions 524 to 776 of the family's 1533-position model. The record is from RNAcentral.
UACGAAGGGGGCUAGCGUUGUUCGGAAUUACUGGGCGUAAAGCGCACGUAGGUGGCUUUGUAAGUUAGAGGUGAAAGCCCGGGGCUCAACUCCGGAAUUGCCUUUAAGACUGCAUCGCUAGAACGUCGGAGAGGUAAGUGGAAUUCCGAGUGUAGAGGUGAAAUUCGUAGAUAUUCGGAAGAACACCAGUGGCGAAGGCGACUUACUGGACGACUGUUGACACUGAGGUGCGAAAGCGUGGGGAGCAAACAGG